GGAGUUUCUAAUUUAGAGAAUGCAAAACCAAAAAAGAGAAAGUUAUUCCGGAGAUUUAUGUCUGAAAAUAAAAUAUUUGGUUAGUGAUUCCUAAGGUUACAAGUGUAAACGAUGUAUUCUGUCUCCCCACAAGUUCUUUUCUCCUGCUCCUGCCACAAAGCAACAAAACUGAUUAAUGAAAGUCAAAUUGAGUUGUCUUUGAAUUAUAUAGAAGAACAUUUUUUAAAAGUGGCUUCAUUCUAACUUUAAAUGGCUAUGACAAAGAAAUCAUUGAUUUAUUUGCAAUAUUUUCCGUUUAUAUUUAAACAGAAUAAUCCUCUUUGGUAGUUCAUUGGCUGCUCAUCUUCCAGCUCUCCAUGUGUAGCUUGGCUGCUCCGUGGUCAAGGUGACUUGUUAGAGAUCAUUUUAGAUCUGUGAAUCUAGGAGACAAUAAAAAAUUAGCAGAAAGUG
This 450-nucleotide long non-coding RNA is filed under the name Homo sapiens (human). Its description in RNAcentral is "non-protein coding lnc-HSPA13-3:1". Lineage: Eukaryota; Metazoa; Chordata; Mammalia; Primates; Hominidae. The record is from RNAcentral.